GACGAACGCUGGCGGCGUGCCUAAUACAUGCAAGUUGAGCGCUGAAGGUUGGUACUUGUACCAACUGGAUGAGCAGCGAACGGGUGAGUAACGCGUGGGGAAUCUGCCUUUGAGCGGGGGACAACAUCUGGAAACGAAUGCUAAUACCGCAUAAAAACUUUAAACACAAGUUUUAAGUUUGAAAGAUGCAAUUGCAUCACCCAAAGAUGAUCCCGCGUUUUCUUAGCUAGUUGGUAAGGUAAAGGCCAACCAAGGCGAGGAACCAUAGCCGACCGGAGAGGUGGUCGGCCACAUUGGGACUGAGACACGGCCCAAACUCCUACGGGAGGCAGCAGUAGGGGAUCUUCGGCAAUGGACGGAAGUCUGACCGAGCAACGCCGCGGGAGUGGAGAAGGUUUUCGGAUCGUAAAACUCUGUUGGUAGGGAAGAACGUUGGUGGGAGUGGAAAGCUCAUCAAGUGACGGUAACUACCCAGAAAGGGACGGCUAACUACGUG
RNAcentral lists this ribosomal RNA (496 nucleotides) under uncultured bacterium. RNAcentral's name for it is "partial 16S ribosomal RNA". It matches the Rfam family "Bacterial small subunit ribosomal RNA", at positions 28 to 507 of the family's 1533-position model. The record is from RNAcentral.